AUUGAACGCUGGCGGCAUGCCUUACACAUGCAAGUCGAACGGCAGCACGGUUGCUUGCUCCUGGUGGCGGGUGGGGAAGGGGUGCGUAAUAGAUAGGCACCUGACCCGACGUUUUGGUUAGGGAGGAGAAAGCGGGAUUUAUACCGAUAACGAACUAGGGCUGCAAGUGGGGGACCUUCGGGUUUGGCCCUAUCGGGUUGGCAGAUGGCUGAUUAGCUGGUUGGUGGGGUAAAGGCCUACCAAGGCGACGAUCAGUAGCUGGUCUGAGAGGAAGAUCAGCCACACUGGAACUGAGACACGGCCCAGACUCCUACGGGAGGCAGCAGUGGGGAAUAUUGGACAAUGGGCGAAAGCCUGAUCCAGCCAUGCCGCGUGUGUGAAGAAGGCCUUCGGGUUGUAAAGCCCUUUUGUUCGGAAAGAAAACCAGCAGGCUAAUACGCUGCUGUUAUGACGGUACCCGAAGAAUAAGCACCGGCUAACUACGUG
Molecule: ribosomal RNA, 486 nt
Filed under: uncultured bacterium
Lineage: Bacteria
Description: partial 16S ribosomal RNA
Rfam family: Bacterial small subunit ribosomal RNA
Source: RNAcentral